Eriocheir sinensis (Chinese mitten crab) is the source of this 424-nucleotide long non-coding RNA. RefSeq lists it as uncharacterized. The record is from RefSeq and is a predicted model, not a curated record. The transcript is spliced from 3 exons. Lineage: Eukaryota; Metazoa; Arthropoda; Malacostraca; Decapoda; Varunidae.
GAGAGAGACCGACCGAGGGAGUAAGCAAGUAAAGAUAAGGACAUACGCAAUAGCUGCACGUGGCCUCGGUGCUCAUUUCCGUCGCAUCAGCUAACCUUGGAGCCUGUGGCGGAUGGGGACACAUUUUUUUAGAAUCAAACGAGCCCACCUUCACCCCAACCCCAAGGCACUCCAAAUUUUAGAAAGUGGUGGCUUGGGUCCCUUUGUGAAACACCUCAAGACCUAAAGACCAGUGAGGGUGUCGGGCUGGUCCGAGGAAUGGCCAGAUGUGACAGGAUGUUGAGUGUCUCCUUCGCUUCAGAGAGGGUUUUCUCGGCAGUCCUGAUGGCGUCCUUGGCUUGUCCCUCGGCCGUGAAGGUGUCUGCCAGCAGCUCUGCCGUGAUCUGUUGCUGUUCUCGGCCGCGCUCCACCAGCUGGGUCGUCU